CCUACGGGAGGCAGCAGUGAGGAAUAUUGGUCAAUGGGCGAGAGCCUGAACCAGCCAAGUCGCGUGAAGGAUGACUGUCUUAUGGAUUGUAAACUUCUUUUGUAGGGGAAUAACGGACGGUACGUGUACCGUAGUGAAUGUACCCUACGAAUAAGCAUCGGCUAACUCCGUGCCAGCAGCCGCGGUAAUACGGAGGAUGCGAGCGUUAUCCGGAUUUAUUGGGUUUAAAGGGUGCGUAGGCGGCCUGUUAAGUCAGCGGUGAAAUCUAGGAGCUUAACUCCUAAAUUGCCAUUGAUACUGGCGGGCUUGAGUGUAGAUGAGGUAGGCGGAAUGCGUGGUGUAGCGGUGGAAUGCAUAGAUAUCACGCAGAACUCCAAUUGCGAAGGCAGCUUACUAAGGUACAACUGACGCUGAAGCACGAAAGCGUGGGUAUCAAACAGGAUUAGAUACCCUGGUAGUCCACGCAGUAAACGAUGAUAACUGGGCGUAUGCGAUAUACAGUAUGCUCCUAAGCGAAAGCGUUAAGUUAUCCACCUGGGGAGUACGCCGGCAACGGUGAAACUCAAAGGAAUUGACGG
RNAcentral lists this ribosomal RNA (578 nucleotides) under uncultured bacterium. Its description in RNAcentral is "bacterial SSU rRNA". It matches the Rfam family "Bacterial small subunit ribosomal RNA", at positions 338 to 916 of the family's 1533-position model. The record is from RNAcentral.